AACCCGCGAAUCAGGAGAUCAUGACCUGAGCCUAAAGCAAGAGUCUGACGCUUAACCACCUGAGCCCCCCAGGCGCCCCUGGGUGAUCUGACCCCCCUCAGCUGCAGGGUAGGUGUCUCAGAUCAGGGGUCUGCCUGCUCAGAUUCGAGUCCCUGCUGUACUGCCUCUGAGCUGUGUGGCCUCAGACAAGUUACUUAACGUCUCUGAGUCUCGGUUUCCCCAUCCAAAAGUGGGGUAGGAAUAGAGCUCCUCACGGUGAGACCACGUGGGAGGGAUGGUCGGCUUCUACUGUGUCCCCGCUUAGUAGCCCCGUGGCGUUGUGCGUCCUGUACACGGGAGGGAGCCACGGACCCGAGACCCUCCGUCCUGCCUGCCGUCGGAGCCCCUGGUCUGGGCACCUCCCGGCCUCUAAUUGUGGCACUGUUGUCCUUCCUGCUCACGGGCGCGGCAUGCCCCGGAGUCUGCUGUGGGCCUGGCGCUUCCCCGCCACCCACAGACGGGGUCCCCCCAGCAGCCUGGCAGGGGCCUGUCUCUAUCGGAAGGCUGUCUGAGCGACUGCCUGGGGGCGGCCGCCGCGCUGGGGCCGCAGAGGGUGAGAGAGAGAAUGGGCCCAGUGUCCGCUUGGCACUAGAGGCCAGUCGGUGACCACCUUCCUUCCGUCUGCUGCUCUGAGCCAGGCUUGUGUAGGGACCGGGGCUGUGGUUUCCCCGAGGGGCGGCAGGCAGCCGGCAUGGGGCGGGCAGCCGUCCAGCUCUGGGGGAACAGGCUUAGGAGACUGGAGGGAGAACCCCAGGAUGCUGAGAACACUCUGGGCUUAAGUGAGCGAGCGGGGUCGGGCUUGGAGUGUCAGCACGCAGGAGCCGGGGACGUGGACGGACAGCGAGGGGGACGUCUGCUGGUUAUCAGUUCUGGACUUUGUCCCCAAGACAUCUUUGUCCCCAGACUUUUCCGUUUCAUCCAUUUGUGUGUGUCCAGGAAAACCAGCUCAGCGGCUUUGGGGUAUCCGCCUCCGGGGGGCUGGCUCAGGGUGAUGGACUGGCGGGGGGCACUCCAGAGUGGGAGAGUCGUGUCCAGGCUACUGACCGGGGCCAGUGAGUAGAAGGGGAGCCAGUGGACCGCCAGAUCUCGGGGUACACUCUCCCCGCUCCCCGCGGGUAUCUUCCAAGGCAGACGAGGGGACAGCCACAGCUCUCCAGACCUCUCUCCCCCUGUUUGGACACCACCGUGGCCAUUCCCGGGUUGGGAAAAGUUCAGUCUUGGGCAUCUGAGACUCAGACCCAAGCUCCCCACUUUCCCCUGGGAAGGUCGUGUCUUGGGUCACGUGCUUUCCUUUCUCUUGGCCACACGACUGCCGGGUCACCUGACAGAUCUGGGUUUGCCUUUUAAAAAUCGGCCAAACUCCUUCCCGAAGCAGCCUCACCAUCUUGCGUUCCCGCCGGCAGUGUGUGAGGCUCCUGCUUCCUCCCCGUCCUCACCAACACUUGUUAUUGUCCGUCUUUUUAAUUAUGGCCGUAAUUUGCGCCCGGCGGGUGCGGAUGGGACCUUGCUGUGGCUUCAGUGUGCGUUCCCCCGAGGACCGUCCGUGCUGAGCGUCUCGCGCCUUAUUAGCGGUGUGCCUCUCCCUUAGGGAAGGGUCUGGUUUGAUGUUGUGUGUGUGUGUGCCCCCUGAGUUCGUUUUUAUAUACAGUGUAUGAUUUUGUCUGUGGCGAGACAGGGGGUCUGUGUUUCUGGUGUUUGCAUGUGGCUGUCCCAGCACGAUUCAUCGGGGGA
This is a long non-coding RNA of Herpailurus yagouaroundi (jaguarundi), 1770 nucleotides long. RefSeq lists it as uncharacterized. The transcript has 2 exons. The record is from RefSeq and is a predicted model, not a curated record. NCBI's taxonomy places the organism in Eukaryota, Metazoa, Chordata, Mammalia, Carnivora, Felidae.